RNAcentral lists this ribosomal RNA (346 nucleotides) under uncultured bacterium. RNAcentral's name for it is "partial 16S ribosomal RNA". It matches the Rfam family "Bacterial small subunit ribosomal RNA", at positions 338 to 699 of the family's 1533-position model. The record is from RNAcentral.
CCUACGGGUGGCAGCAGUAGGGAAUCUUUCACAAUGGGCGAAAGCCUGAUGGAGCAAAGCCGCGUGCAGGAUGAAGGCCUUCGGGUUGGUAACUGCUUUUAUAAGCGAGAAAUCUGAUGGUAACUUAUGAAUAAGGAUCGGCUAACUACGUGCCAGCAGCCGCGGACAUACGUAGGACCCGAGCAUUAUCCGGAGUGACUGGGUGUAAAGAGUUGCGUAGGUGGCAUAAGAAGUAGCUAGGGAAAUCUGGUGGCUCAACCAUUCAGACUAUUAGCGAAACUGUUAGGCUCGAGACCGUUAGGGGUAACUGGAAUGUCUAGUGUAGGAGUGAAAUGCGUAGAUAUUA